RNAcentral lists this ribosomal RNA (957 nucleotides) under Rhodeus cyanorostris. Its description in RNAcentral is "12S ribosomal RNA". It matches the Rfam family "Bacterial small subunit ribosomal RNA", at positions 145 to 1399 of the family's 1533-position model. The record is from RNAcentral. Lineage: Eukaryota; Metazoa; Chordata; Actinopteri; Cypriniformes; Acheilognathidae.
CUCUCCCCUGUCAAAAUGCAAUAAAUAUACCUAAAUCAAAAGCACUGAUAAGGGGAGGCAAGUCGUAACAUGGUAAGUGUACCGGAAGGUGCACUUGGAUUAACUAAAGGCAUGGUCCUGACCUUACUAUCAGCAUUCGCCCAACUUACACAUGCAAGUAUCUGCGCCCCCGUGAGUACGCCCUCGACCCCCCGCCCGGGGACCAGGAGCAGGCAUCAGGCACACUUUUACCCCGCCCAAGACGCCCAGCCAGGCCACACCCCCAAGGGAAUUCAGCAGUGAUAAACAUUAAGCCAUGAGCGAAAGCUCGACUUAGUUGAGGCCAACAGAGCCGGUAAAACUCGUGCCAGCCACCGCGGUUAGACGAGAGGCCCAAGUUGAUAGUACUACGGCGUAAAGGGUGGUUAGGGAUUAUAAUUUAAUAAAGCCAAAUAGCCCUCCAGCUGUCAUACGCCCCCCGGCGCUAGAAGCCCGACACACGAAAGUAGCUUUAACAACACCCACCUGACCCCACGAAAGCUAAGAAACAAACUGGGAUUAGAUACCCCACUAUGCUUAGCCGUAAACCCAGACACCCAAACACAAUAUGUGUCCGCCGGGGUACUACAAGCAUUAGCUUAAAACCCAAAGGACCUGACGGUGCCUCAGACCCCCCUAGAGGAGCCUGUUCUAGAACCGACAACCCCCGUUAAACCUCACCACUUCUGGUCAACCCAGCCUAUAUACCGCCGUCGCCAGCUUACCCUGUGAAGGGUAUAAGAGUAAGCAAAAUGAGCACAACUCAGAACGUCAGGUCGAGGUGUAGCGUAUGGAGUGGGAAGAAAUGGGCUACAUUUUCUACUACAGAACACUACGGAUACGCAACAUGAAAUAGUGCUUAAAGGAGGAUUUAGUAGUAAAAAGGAAAAAGAGCGUCCUUUUGAACCCGGCUCUGAGACGCGUACACACCGCCCGUCA